GAUGGGAUUAAAAUACCUCUUUAAUUAUGACGAAUGUGGCGAACACGACAAUGUACCGGCACAGACAAUGAUGAUGAGUAAGCUGAUGACGAUGUACCGCUGUGAGAAAAAAUAUAUUACUAAAAAAAUAUAGAUAAAAAUAAAAUGGGAUACUACUAAAAAAAAUAUAUACUUUAUAUGUAAGAAACGUAUAGGCGAAAGUGAGAAAAUACCAAAAAAGAUAUGCUAACAAAAAAAAUAUGAUGAAUAUAUUGUGUGAUAAAAAUUAUGAUGAGAUAAGAUUGGAUAGUGUAGAUAUGAUAUGCGAGAGUAUUAAGAUAUAUUCUAUAUUUGAGAAUGCGGAGAAUAUUUUGGUAGGUAUUAUUUAAAUAUUGAAUAUUUUGCUAAAAAAAUUUAAAAUUAUAUUUAAUUAACGAUUUAGUUUUGAUUGGGCGGGUAUUAAUUUUUUUUAGAAAUAUUUUAUGCUUUUAUGACGCAUUAUUUAAAUAUUGAAUAUUUUAGUAAAGAAAUUUAAAAUUGUAUUUAAUUAACUAUUUAGUUUUGAUUGAGCGGGUAUUAAUUUUUUUUAGAAAUAUUCUAUGUUUUUAUGACGUAUUAUUUAAAUAUUGAAUAUUUUACUAAAAAAUUUAAAAUUAUAUUUAAUUAACGAUUUAGUUUUAAUUUUGGGGUAUUAAAAUUUUUUUAGCAAUAUUUAA
Molecule: long non-coding RNA, 695 nt
Filed under: Ananas comosus (pineapple)
Lineage: Eukaryota; Viridiplantae; Streptophyta; Magnoliopsida; Poales; Bromeliaceae
Description: long non-coding RNA (ACOM_LNC029655)
Source: RNAcentral